This 468-nucleotide ribosomal RNA is filed under the name uncultured bacterium. Its description in RNAcentral is "partial 16S ribosomal RNA". It matches the Rfam family "Bacterial small subunit ribosomal RNA", at positions 28 to 507 of the family's 1533-position model. The record is from RNAcentral.
GACGAACGCUGGCGGCGUGCUUAACACAUGCAAGUCGAACGGAAAGGCCCUGCUUUUGUGGGGUGCUCGAGUGGCGAACGGGUGAGUAACACGUGAGUAACCUGCCCUUGACUUUGGGAUAACUUCAGGAAACUGGGGCUAAUACCGGAUAGGAGCUCCUGCUGCAUGGUGGGGGUUGGAAAGUUUCGGCGGUUUGGGAUGGACUCGCGGCUUAUCAGCUUGUUGGUGGGGUAGUGGCUUACCACGGCUUUGACGGGUAGCCCGCCUGAGAGGGUGACCGGGCACCUGACGCCUACGAUACGCACCAGUAGCGUACCGGCGGCAGUAGUCGGGAGCCUUACAGAGUGGCGCGACGCGUGAUAUGGAAACCCCGGGUGCGUGAUGCCGGGUUACGGGUUGUAAACCGAUUUCGAAUGUGCCGAAGAGUUAGUGACGGUACUGGGUCAAGAAGCACCGGCUAACUACGUG